This 365-nucleotide ribosomal RNA is filed under the name Gemmatimonadota bacterium. RNAcentral describes it as "bacterial SSU rRNA". It matches the Rfam family "Bacterial small subunit ribosomal RNA", at positions 1 to 369 of the family's 1533-position model. Lineage: Bacteria; Pseudomonadati; Gemmatimonadota. The record is from RNAcentral.
CUAUUGGAGAGUUUGAUCCUGGCUCAGGACGAACGCUGGCGGCGUGCAUAACACAUGCAAGUCACGGGGGUCAGUAGCAAUACUGAUAACCGGCGAACGGGUGCGUAACACGUAAGCGACCUACCUCGAUGUGGGGCAUAGCCGGCCUAACGGCCGGGUAAUUCCGCAUGUGAUCCCGGAGGGGCAUAUCUCUGGGAUGAAACCAGUAAUGGGCAUUGAGAGGGGCUUGCGGCCUAUCAGCUAGUUGGCGGGGUAACGGCUCACCAAGGCGACGACGGGUAGCUGGUCUGAGAGGAUGGCCAGCCACAUUGGGACUGAGAAACGGCCCAGACUCCUACGGGAGGCAGCAGUGGGGAAUCUUGCGC